UCUCCGUAGGUGAACCUGCGGAGGGAUCAUUACAGAGUUCAUGCCCUACCGGGUAGAUCUCCCACCCUAUGUUAUUAUUACUUUGCUGCUUUGGCGGGCCGUUAGGCUCCGGCCCGACUACCGGCCCCGGCUGGUAAGCGCCCGCCAGAGGACCCAAAACCCUGAAUAUUAGUGUCGUCUGAGUACUAUAUAAUAGUUAAAACUUUCAACAACGGAUCUCUUGGUUCUGGCAUCGAUGAAGAACCAGC
This 248-nucleotide unclassified non-coding RNA is filed under the name plant metagenome. RNAcentral's name for it is "partial contains small subunit ribosomal RNA, internal transcribed spacer 1, and 5.8S ribosomal RNA". The record is from RNAcentral.